GACCUGAGGAACGCUAAGCCGCUUGGGGGAUGGCUUGGCUCAGGCGCCGAGGAAGGCCGUGGCAAGCUGCGAAAAGCCCAGGCUAGGCGCAAGCAGCCUUAGAACCUGGGAUUGCCUAAUGGGACUUCCUGUCGCAGGGCAACCUGCGGCGUUCGCGGUAGCGAACGGGAACCCCGGGAACGGAAACAUCUUAGUACCGGGAGGAAAAGAAAGCAAUUGCGAUGCCCUUAGUAACGGCGAGUGAAGAGGGCACAGAGCAAACCGAACCUGGUGGCGAGAGUCACUGGGGAUGUGGAGUUGCAGGACCCGACCGCCACCUAACCGAGGAAGCUGAAGUUGGCUGGAACGCCACGCCAUAGAGGGUGAAAGCCCCGUAAGCGUAACUCGGAAGGUGUUGGGUUGGGUAUCCUGAGUAGGAUGCCUUGGAAAUGGCGUCCGAAGCCGGGAGGCAUCAACUCCCAACUCUAAAUACGUCCUGAGACCGAUAGCGGAGCAGUACCGCGAGGGAAAGCUGAAAAGUACCCCGGAAGGGGGGUGAAAAGAGCCUGAAACCAAGCGGCGAUUGUUGGACAUGGCUCGAAAGGGCUGAUUCUCCCCGAAGGAAACUGCGGCGACGCAGCAGUACGAGGGGAGAGGACCGGGGUCAUGUCGUCCGUCUGGAAUCACGGGCCAGGGAGUUUAUCGUCGUGGCGAGGCUAAGGGUUUUAAGCCCGAGGCCGGAGCGAAAGCGAAUAGCCCGCAUCGCGCAAGCGAGAGGGGCUGGGUGUGAAAGCGCCCGGAGUCACGGCGAUAAGACCCGAAACCGGGCGAUCUAGUCCGGGGUAGGACGAAGCUGAUCUUCGGAUCGGUGGAGGUCCGAACCGGUCUUGACGUGCAAUUCGGUCGGAUAACCCUGGGCUAGUGGCGAAAGACCAAUCAAGCCCGGUGACAGCUGGUUCCUUCCGAAGCUGGCCGCAGUCAGGCCCGGCGCGAGGUCGCAGGCGGUGUAGAGCACCGAUUGAUGGGAUACGGGGGGAAACCCUCGGCCCGUCUGUCGAACUCCGAAGCUGCCUGCACCGUAGACCGCUGGAGACGGGGUGCGGGGGGUAAGCUCCCGCUCCGAGAGGGGAAAAACCCAGACCAAGGUUAAGGCCCCCAAAUGCCAGCUAAGUGUUAAACCUAAAGGGCGUCCUUGACCAAAAACAGCGGGGAGGUAGGCUUAGAAGCAGCCAUCCUCUAAGCAACGCGUAAUAGCGGACCCGUCGAGGUCAGGGGCCCCAAAAAUUGGCGGGGCUUAAGCUGGCUGCCGAUACCUUGGGGAGGCCGAAGAGGAGUAGGCCGAUCCGGUAGGAAGGCGCCCGGCGUGGGUGGAAGUGUGACCGUGAGGUCACGUGGACCGCGUCGGGAUGAGGAUCCUGGCGGUAGUAGCAGCGUAGUGGGGUGAGAAUCCCCACCACCGAAGGGGCUCGGGUUCCUCGACAAUGAUCGUCAGUCGAGGGUUAGUCGGUCCUAAGGCGGCCCUCAACCAGAGGCCGUCGAAAGGGAAACCGGUUAAUAUUCCGGUACCACCCAGGUACCUUGCGGCAACGCAGGCUCAGCUUCUGACGCUUCGGGGUAGGUUGAGCGGGGUCGUCGCCCCGUCUAACCCACGGAGGUCCGAGGAGUUCCGUAAUGGAGAGAAUCGGACGAACGUGGGGAAUGGCCUGCCGUUAGGUGGGUUCAGCUCAUCCCUGGAGCCCGUGAAAAAGGAGCUGAGAAAUGGGAUCCUGGGCGGCCGUACCUAGAUCCGACACAUUGACGAUAACCAGCAAAUUAAGCUGGAGUCGUCAAGUCGAGAGGUGCCCCUAGGUGAGAAGCCUCAGGUGUAUCGGGAGACCCCAGGCCAGGGAAUUCGGCAAAAUAGCCCCGUGACUUUGGACGAAGGGGUGCCUGCCUUGCGAAAGGCAGGUCGCAGUGACAAGCGGAGGCCGACUGUUUAAUAAAAACGUAGCUAACCGCAAGCCCGAAAGGGUGAGUACGGUUAGUGAAUUCUGCCCAGUAGCGGUACGUUAAGCCGGGUUUCAACCCGGUGAAGCGCCGCUAAACGGCGGGGGUAACUAUAACCCUCUUAGUUCUCUGCCGUCUGGGCGGAGAAGGAGCUAGGUAGCGUAAUACCUUGCCGCUUAAUUGGCGGCUUGCAUGAAGGAAUCAACGAGCCUCCCACUGUCCCGGUCUGGGCCCCGGUGAACCCACUGGCCGGCGAACAUGCCGGGGACCCCCGAAGGGAAACGAAGACCCCGUGGACCUUUACUGCAGCCUGUCGUUGAAGCGCGGUUGCGGGUGCAGAGCGUAGGCGGGAGCCUUCGAAGCCCGAUCUUCGGGUCGGGUGGAGGCGCCAAUGUAACACCGCCCUCUUGCGGCUGCGUUUCUAACUCGAAAGAGGACCGCGGCAGGUGGGCAGUUUCGCUGGGGCGGCAGCCUCUCGAAAAGAUAUCGAGAGGGCCCAAAGGUCGGCUCAGGCGGGUCAGAAAUCCGCCGUGGAGGGCAAGGCCAAAAGCCGGCCUGACUGUGUGCUCACUACCAAGGCACGCAGAGGCGAAAGCCUGGCCUAGCGAACCUCGAUGUCCCUCUUGGUGAGGGCUCGGGAUGACAGAAAAGGUACCCCGGGGAUAACAGAGUUGUCGCGGGCGAGAGUCCCUAUCGACCCCGCGGCUUGCUACCUCAACUUUGGGGUAUGACUGCAGUAAUGCAGUUCUGGCACUGGCUUAUAACGGGGAAACCCUUCACGGUGUUUUUCCUUAUAAAGAGUUUCCACCAAGAAAUGAAGGGCAACCCCGUGGGAAGUCUAACCAAGGAACAGCGCGAUCUAGUGGUGGGAUGUUUAAUCGGAGAUGGAUAUAUGCGUCUAAGCCACAGAGGCAGGGGAAAUGCAGCUUUUCAAAUUGCGCACUCAGUAAAGCAGAGAGAAUAUGUUGUAUGGAAAUCUUCGAAGCUCAGAGAGUUUGUAAAAACACCUCCGAAACGAAAUGGUCCUCGUGGUUUUAGAUUUGUAACUAGAUUUCUGCCAGAGUUUACGCGAUUUUAUGAGAAGUUUUACGGUGAGGGCAAAAAGAUAAUUCCACACGAACAGAUCAUAGCACCUCUAGCCCUUGCAGUGUGGUAUAUGACGAUGGAGGAAAAUGCGGUAAUCGGGAUAUCUACUUUAACAUCCAGAAAUACGACCUAGAAUCGCAAAGGGAACUCAUAGAUGCUCUAUGGAAACAAUUUAAAAUAAAGGCAACAAUGAACAGAGAUAAAAAAUAUUGGAGGAUAAGGAUAUUUAAAGGAGGAAUUGAUCGAUUUACGAAGAUUGUCAGGCCCCAUAUUAUCCCGCCGCUAGAAUAUAAACUUCCUAGUUAGACCCCGUAACGACUGAGUGGUGCCGAUGCCGUAAGAAGGCAUCACAAUGAGAUAGUCUAAAUGACUAUCAUACGCCAGCUCCCUCCUGCGCUGGGAGGGAUGAAGAGAUAGUCUACCCUUGCUGGUAACAGCAAGAUCGGUGCGAUGUCGGUUCUUCCCAUCCUGGCCGUGCAGCAGCGGCCAAGGGUAGGGUUGUUCGCCCGUUAAAGGGGAACGUGAGCUGGGUUUAGACCGUCGCGAGACAGGUCGGAUGCUAUCUUUCGGGGGUGCUGGGUGCCUGAGGGGAAGGUGGCCCUAGUACGAGAGGAACAGGCUACCGGCGCCUCUGGUUUACCGGUUGUCCGACAGGGCAUAGCCGGGCAGCUACGCGCCAGCCGAUAAGGCCUGAAAGCAUCUAAGGCCGAAGCGGCCCUCGAAAAUAGGCACCCGUUUCGGUGGUCCCCGCAAGGGGAUGCUCGCCCUGGCGACAGGGCGAGACGCCGGAUGAAGGGCUGGGACUAGAAGAUCCCGUUGAUAGGCCACGGAUGUAAGCACCAAGCUUCGGCGAGGUGCUCAGUCCGGUGGUACUAAUCGCCCAAGUUCUUCAGCUU
Non-coding RNA from Hadesarchaea archaeon YNP_N21, 3947 nucleotides. Lineage: Archaea; Methanobacteriati; Hadarchaeota (SeqCode); Hadarchaeia (SeqCode). The record is from Rfam.